UUUUUCAAUUAUUGAUUUUUUACAAAGUGCAUAAAACUGAAAGAGUACAGGUGAUCGUAGAGUAUUAGAUAUGACUUCACUGGGUAUGUUUUGCACUUUUGUUGGAAAUAUUGAAGGAGUAUCUUGACACAGUCAAUGAUCUUAUUGAAUUUUCAACUAAGUUUUAGCAUAAUUAUAUUUAUGUUGGCUGUAGAUGUUGCCAAUUAUUUUUAAAGGUAACUUCUAUAGAGCGGUGGUUAAGACUGGCUAUGUUGUAUGGGGCAGAGUGUUGGCCAGUCAAGAAUUCCCAUGUCCAGAAGAUGAAGGUGGCAGAAAUGAUAAUGCUGAAAUUUGGAAUCUUGAUAUUCAAAUUGAAAUGGGAGAAUCUCAAGAAUGUCCAUUUUUAAAGCCACAGGGUGCGAAAUCUGAACCAAAUCACUAGAGCAUGGUGCCUCAAAUCUCUUCAUAUGCUCAGAUUUCUUUCUGAUUAGGCAGAAAAUAUGGAUGCAUUCAUGGAGACGGUUUCUGGAGAAAUUAUGUCUUCGGAGGAAAUUCAACUUCUUCAUCGCCUCAUAGCCAAACUUGAUUCCGCUAAUAUUGCCACAUCCAAUUAUGUACAAUCAGGUACUGCCUUUGCUGCUCACCUUAAUUCUUGGAUUGUUGAUUCUUGUGCAAGUAGAUACAUGACUGGCUCUUCUAAAGGCAUUAGAAACUAUUCUCCAUGUCUCAAAGAAGAUAAUGUUAAAAUAGCCAAUGGUUUUUUAACACCUAUCUCAGGAACAGAUUCUGUCGUUUGUACUCCUAAUAUUGAACUAAUCAUUCGUACUCCAUGUCCCUGCUGUCAAUCUUUUAUUUGUUAGUGCCAUCAACAAAGCUCUAAACUGUAAAAUUAAGUUCUUUCCAAUCAUUGUAUUUUUCAGGAUCUUCAAACAAGGAAAAGGAUUGACAGUGGUAGAUUGUAUGAUGACUUGUAUAUAUUAGAUAUAAUUCAAAACUCUGGUCAAGCCUUUUUUGGGAAAGUAAGAAUGUUAACCAAGAAAUAAUAAAUCGGUAUAGACGGUUAGAACACCCAUCAUUCUUUGUUUUGAAGAAGUUAUAUCCCGAUUUGUUUUCGAGGACUUAAUUUGAAUCUUUGUUUUGUGAUGCAUUUGAAUAUGCCAAGUAUACUAGAAACUCUUAUUCUGUGAGUGAUAAUAGAAGCAUAACUCCAUUUAUGACUAUUCCUUAUGAUUUAUAAGGUCAUACUCAAAUUGUUUCUCGUCUGGUAAUUGAUAGAUUUGUUACUUUCAUUGAUUUCUGCAUUAAGAUGACUUGUGUACUUUUGUUAAAAGCCAAAAGUGAAGUUUUCUCUUGUUUUCAGUCAUUUCAUAAGAUAAUUUGUCUCAUUUUGAUGCCAAAAUAAAAAUCUUGUGAACUGACAAUGGUGGCGAAUAUAUGAAUAAAAGAUUUGGUUCUCAUAUGGAGUCCAAUAGGAUAGUCCAUCAGACUAGUUGUCGUUACACUAGUGCACAAAAUGGGGUCGCUGAAAGAAAAUAUAGCAUUUGUUAGAAGUAGCUAGAUCUCUUGUGUUCAACAUGCAUCUAUCAAAACCUUACCGGGGGAUGCUAUUCUAGUUGCUGUCUAUCUUAUCAACAAAAUGCCACUUAAAACCCUCAUUUUUCGUAGUCUUCUGGAAGCUUUAAAACGUAAGCAUGAAUAUACUAUUCCUCCAAAGGUGUUUGGGUGUGUUUGCUUUGUCUACACUAGGAAUUUUGGGAAACUUGAUCCUAGAACACAUAAAGUUUACAAAUGUUAUCAUUCUCUCUCUAGGAGAUCUUUUGUUAGCAUGCAUGUUAGCUUUGAGAUUUGAGCCGUAUUUCAAUAUUACCUUAUCACCUCAAGCACUGUAAUCCCAGACUCACACCCUAGACCUCGAUAUUUGACCCCGACCCCAACACUCGAUUUCGACCACGAUCUAGACUUUGACUCCGUAUCCACACCCUUAUCCCUAUACCUAACCGCGAUAACAAUCCUUGACUCUAACCCGAACCUAGACUUCGAACCUCGAUCCCUAAUCUCGGUCAUAUGCCUUGACCAUGAUCUUUGACCCCCAACUCGAACCGAACAUCGAUCAUGGACCCCAACCUCGAACUGAACCUUGAUAGUGGAUCCUGACAACCUAGCCCCAACAUUGAACCUGAACCCUUACCCCAACCGCAACCCCAUUCUCGACCCCCAAUCCUAGACCCGAACAUCACCCCCGACAUCGGGCUCAGGUGGCCGACCCCAAACUUGACCCUGUCCCGACACCUGGUCCCUUACUUCGACACCGGGCCUCUGACCUUAGUGUUUUGAUUCACGAAGUCUGAGACGGGCGGGGUAGGGAUGGCAGGAG
Non-coding RNA from Nicotiana tabacum (common tobacco), 2353 nucleotides. Lineage: Eukaryota; Viridiplantae; Streptophyta; Magnoliopsida; Solanales; Solanaceae. The record is from RefSeq and is a predicted model, not a curated record.